GUCUACGGCCAUACCGCGUUGAAAGCACCAGUUCUCGUCCGAUCACUGAAGUUAAGCAACGUCGGGCUCGGUUAGUACUUGGAUGGGUGACCGCCUGGGAACACCGAGUGCUGUAGACUCCC
RNAcentral lists this ribosomal RNA (122 nucleotides) under Lottia gigantea (owl limpet). The record is from RNAcentral. Lineage: Eukaryota; Metazoa; Mollusca; Gastropoda; Lottiidae.